This is a non-coding RNA of Myotis brandtii (Brandt's bat), 103 nucleotides long. The record is from Rfam. Lineage: Eukaryota; Metazoa; Chordata; Mammalia; Chiroptera; Vespertilionidae.
GUGCUCCUUCAGCAGCACAUUUACCAAAAUCGGAACAACACUGAGAUUAGCAUGGCCCCUGAGCAAGCAUGACAUACAAAUUCAUGAAGUGUUCCAUGAUCUU